RNAcentral lists this ribosomal RNA (496 nucleotides) under uncultured bacterium. RNAcentral's name for it is "partial 16S ribosomal RNA". It matches the Rfam family "Bacterial small subunit ribosomal RNA", at positions 28 to 506 of the family's 1533-position model. The record is from RNAcentral.
GAUGAACGCUGGCGGCGUGCCUAAUACAUGCAAGUCGAGCGAACGGACGAGAAGCUUGCUUCUCUGAUGUUAGCGGCGGACGGGUGAGUAACACGUGGAUAACCUACCUAUAAGACUGGGAUAACUUCGGGAAACCGUAGCUAAUACCGGAUAAUAUUUUGAACCGCAUGGUUCAAAAGUGAAAGACGUUCUUGCUGUCACUUAUAGAUGGAUCCGCGCUGCAUUAGCUAGUUGGUAAGGUAACGGCUUACCAAGGCAACGAUGCAUAGCCGACCUGAGAGGGUGAUCGGCCACACUGGAACUGAGACACGGUCCAGACUCCUACGGGAGGCAGCAGUAGGGAAUCUUCCGCAAUGGGCGAAAGCCUGACGGAGCAACGCCGCGUGAGUGAUGAAGGUCUUCGGAUCGUAAAACUCUGUUAUUAGGGAAGAACAUAUGUGUAAGUAACUGUGCACAUCUUGACGGUACCUAAUCAGAAAGCCACGGCUAACUACGU